This 454-nucleotide ribosomal RNA is filed under the name Oxyrrhis marina. RNAcentral describes it as "partial Bacterial small subunit ribosomal RNA". It matches the Rfam family "Bacterial small subunit ribosomal RNA", at positions 374 to 826 of the family's 1533-position model. The record is from RNAcentral. Lineage: Eukaryota; Dinophyceae; Oxyrrhinales; Oxyrrhinaceae.
GACGAGAGUCUGAACCAGCCAUGCCGCGUGUAGGAAGACGGCCUUCUGGGUUGUAAACUACUUUUAUAUGGGAAGAAAAAAGCCUUGCGAGGCGAAUUGACGGUACCAUACGAAUAAGCACCGGCUAACUCCGUGCCAGCAGCCGCGGUAAUACGGGGGAUGCAAGCGUUAUCCGGAAUCAUUGGGUUUAAAGGGUCCGCAGGCGGUCAAUUAAGUCAGAGGUGAAAUCCCAUAGCUUAACUAUGGAACUGCCUUUGAUACUGGUUGACUUGAGUUAUACGGAAGUAGAUAGAAUAAGUAGUGUAGCGGUGAAAUGCAUAGAUAUUACUUAGAAUACCAAUUGCGAAGGCAGAUCACUAAUAAUAUAUUGACGCUGAUGGACGAAAGCGUGGGGAGCGAACAGGAUUAGAUACCCUGGUAGUCCACGCCGUAAACGAUGGUCACUAGCUGUUCG